GCUUCUAUGGUGUAGAGGUUAGCAUCUGGGAUUUUGAUUCCCGAGACCCCGGUUCGAACCCGGGUAGGAGCU
Molecule: transfer RNA, 72 nt
Filed under: Aspergillus ruber CBS 135680
Lineage: Eukaryota; Fungi; Ascomycota; Eurotiomycetes; Eurotiales; Aspergillaceae
Description: tRNA-Gln (TTG) (tRNA-Gln-TTG-1-1)
Rfam family: tRNA
About the family: Transfer RNA (tRNA) molecules are approximately 80 nucleotides in length. Their secondary structure includes four short double-helical elements and three loops (D, anti-codon, and T loops).
Source: RNAcentral